Molecule: unclassified non-coding RNA, 87 nt
Filed under: Pseudomonas cedrina
Lineage: Bacteria; Pseudomonadati; Pseudomonadota; Gammaproteobacteria; Pseudomonadales; Pseudomonadaceae
Source: RNAcentral
UGUGGGAGCUGGCUUGCCUGCGAUAGGAUCACCUCGGUUUGCCUGAAGGACCGAGGUGAUGCCAUCGCAGGCAAGCCAGCUCCCACA